CUUCUCUCAUCCGUACAAAGGCAUUCCAAAGGGAUAUUAUGUAAAACGUCAUAGAAGACAGAUUGCAUAAAAUAUAAGCAAAGAUAAGAGAAGUACAUGCUACACAAGUUAAGGGUUUAACCUUAAUCUCUAAUUUAAGUUUUAGCCUAGGUAAUUAAUUAAUUGAUGUUGUAUUGAUCCUUGUGUUUGUAUGAUUGUAGAGACAGUCCUGGAGUGUUUGUGCCGCCUGAUUUCUGGGACUACACACCAAUCUCUCUGGCUGACCAUGCAAUAAGUAUUUUGCAAUUACAUCUGUUUGGUCAUAAUCCAUACAGACUGAAGAAACUGAGAUACUUACUUAUGAGGACAUAAACUUUUCACGCAAGAACCUGGAAAGUCCUGAAGGUGCAGUGCUGUCUAAUACCGCUGGUUAUGUAAUAACCCUUUCAACCAUUGGGGUGUUGCACAGAGCAUUGUGGUGAAAAUCCAGCAAACAAAAGAAGAACUAUGUGGAAGCUGACAUUGUCUUGUUGUCAGCCAUAUUGCUACCCUUAGCCAUUUUAUGGAACAAAAUGUCUGGUGUCUAAACUGAUUUCUUUAUCCUCUGUGGAAGACUUAUUCUAUUUUUCUGAACUAUUGAACUAUUUUUAUUUUUGUAGAGUUAGCGGGAGAGAGAUGAAGUGUUAGCUGACCCAGGGAUGGAUGUACUAUGUGUGUUUUUGAUAUAUGUUGAGUGUGCCAACGACGGAUUCCCAUGUUUUGAGGAACUGCGUGAGCAUAUGACUGGUUCUGACUGGACCUUUGGAAUAGGGAAAUGGUUAAAAGAUAUAGGACGCAAGGUCCUGGUUGUGAUUAUUGUCAGAAUUUCAAGCUAGAUUAUAAUUUAUCUCAUGAAUUAAUAUGUAAGAAGUGUUUCCCAAUUCCUCCCGAUACCAAAGCUAUGUACUCACAGGUGCGGGUAUUAUAAGUCACAAGUGGUGUCAACUGUGAGGGGAUGACAUGUCUAACACGAUCGCGACCCUUAUUUGCUAUAAGUCCAGGUUCCAUUUUGUCUUAAACAUCGAUUUUCUAUACAUCUGUCUGCAAAAGUAUUAAGUGUCUUUUUUCCUGCUGAGUUUCUGUUUCUUGUAGACCACAUGAUUGCUUAGGAAUGUCAUAAUGUGGAAGUUUUUCUGUCCUGGGAGAAUGUUAACCAAUAAUAUGAGCAAGUUUUUGCUCAAAGAGGGGAAUGAAAGGAUAUGAAGUAGUUAACUUUUCUUGUUCAUAUGUAUUUUAUGCUUAGAUAAGGUUUAUAAUCAUUAGUGCUGACUGUAAGGAUAUGAAAUAGUUAAACUCUUUUUGCUUUAUAUGCUUUAAAAUAAUGUUUAAAAUAAUUAUGCAGACUUUGGCAGAUGAAUUUUGUACCAAGGUCUUCCUUCUAGAGGAUGUGUGACCUUGUGCGACCUCAGGACGUUCCUGUUCUGUCUUUAUUCAAAUGCUUAUCUUCUACUGCCACAGAAGUAUGUACUAUUAACUAUAAGGAAGCGAUAAAUUUCGUUGCUUGUGUGACAAACUGUGUAUAAAUGCUAGC
This 1549-nucleotide long non-coding RNA is filed under the name Pelobates cultripes (western spadefoot toad). The record is from RNAcentral. Lineage: Eukaryota; Metazoa; Chordata; Amphibia; Anura; Pelobatidae.